This 2924-nucleotide ribosomal RNA is filed under the name Escherichia coli O25b:H4. RNAcentral describes it as "bacterial LSU rRNA". It matches the Rfam family "Bacterial large subunit ribosomal RNA". Lineage: Bacteria; Pseudomonadati; Pseudomonadota; Gammaproteobacteria; Enterobacterales; Enterobacteriaceae. The record is from RNAcentral.
GGUUAAGCGACUAAGCGUACACGGUGGAUGCCCUGGCAGUCAGAGGCGAUGAAGGACGUGCUAAUCUGCGAUAAGCGUCGGUGAGGUGAUAUGAACCGUUAUAACCGGCGAUUUCCGAAUGGGGAAACCCAGUGUGAUUCGUCACACUAUCAUUAACUGAAUCCAUAGGUUAAUGAGGCGAACCGGGGGAACUGAAACAUCUAAGUACCCCGAGGAAAAGAAAUCAACCGAGAUUCCCCCAGUAGCGGCGAGCGAACGGGGAGGAGCCCAGAGCCUGAAUCAGUGUGUGUGUUAGUGGAAGCGUCUGGAAAGGCGCGCGAUACAGGGUGACAGCCCCGUACACAAAAAUGCACAUAUUGUGAGCUCGAUGAGUAGGGCGGGACACGUGGUAUCCUGUCUGAAUAUGGGGGGACCAUCCUCCAAGGCUAAAUACUCCUGACUGACCGAUAGUGAACCAGUACCGUGAGGGAAAGGCGAAAAGAACCCCGGCGAGGGGAGUGAAAAAGAACCUGAAACCGUGUACGUACAAGCAGUGGGAGCCUCUUAAUGGGGUGACUGCGUACCUUUUGUAUAAUGGGUCAGCGACUUAUAUUCUGUAGCAAGGUUAACCGAAUAGGGGAGCCGAAGGGAAACCGAGUCUUAACUGGGCGUUAAGUUGCAGGGUAUAGACCCGAAACCCGGUGAUCUAGCCAUGGGCAGGUUGAAGGUUGGGUAACACUAACUGGAGGACCGAACCGACUAAUGUUGAAAAAUUAGCGGAUGACUUGUGGCUGGGGGUGAAAGGCCAAUCAAACCGGGAGAUAGCUGGUUCUCCCCGAAAGCUAUUUAGGUAGCGCCUCGUGAAUUCAUCUCCGGGGGUAGAGCACUGUUUCGGCAAGGGGGUCAUCCCGACUUACCAACCCGAUGCAAACUGCGAAUACCGGAGAAUGUUAUCACGGGAGACACACGGCGGGUGCUAACGUCCGUCGUGAAGAGGGAAACAACCCAGACCGCCAGCUAAGGUCCCAAAGUCAUGGUUAAGUGGGAAACGAUGUGGGAAGGCCCAGACAGCCAGGAUGUUGGCUUAGAAGCAGCCAUCAUUUAAAGAAAGCGUAAUAGCUCACUGGUCGAGUCGGCCUGCGCGGAAGAUGUAACGGGGCUAAACCAUGCACCGAAGCUGCGGCAGCGACACUAUGUGUUGUUGGGUAGGGGAGCGUUCUGUAAGCCUGUGAAGGUGGCCUGUGAGGGUUGCUGGAGGUAUCAGAAGUGCGAAUGCUGACAUAAGUAACGAUAAAGCGGGUGAAAAGCCCGCUCGCCGGAAGACCAAGGGUUCCUGUCCAACGUUAAUCGGGGCAGGGUGAGUCGACCCCUAAGGCGAGGCCGAAAGGCGUAGUCGAUGGGAAACAGGUUAAUAUUCCUGUACUUGGUGUUACUGCGAAGGGGGGACGGAGAAGGCUAUGUUGGCCGGGCGACGGUUGUCCCGGUUUAAGCGUGUAGGCUGGUUUUCCAGGCAAAUCCGGAAAAUCAAGGCUGAGGCGUGAUGACGAGGCACUACGGUGCUGAAGCGACAAAUGCCCUGCUUCCAGGAAAAGCCUCUAAGCAUCAGGUAACAUCAAAUCGUACCCCAAACCGACACAGGUGGUCAGGUAGAGAAUACCAAGGCGCUUGAGAGAACUCGGGUGAAGGAACUAGGCAAAAUGGUGCCGUAACUUCGGGAGAAGGCACGCUGAUAUGUAGGUGAAGCGACUUGCUCGUGGAGCUGAAAUCAGUCGAAGAUACCAGCUGGCUGCAACUGUUUAUUAAAAACACAGCACUGUGCAAACACGAAAGUGGACGUAUACGGUGUGACGCCUGCCCGGUGCCGGAAGGUUAAUUGAUGGGGUUAGCGGUAACGCGAAGCUCUUGAUCGAAGCCCCGGUAAACGGCGGCCGUAACUAUAACGGUCCUAAGGUAGCGAAAUUCCUUGUCGGGUAAGUUCCGACCUGCACGAAUGGCGUAAUGAUGGCCAGGCUGUCUCCACCCGAGACUCAGUGAAAUUGAACUCGCUGUGAAGAUGCAGUGUACCCGCGGCAAGACGGAAAGACCCCGUGAACCUUUACUAUAGCUUGACACUGAACAUUGAGCCUUGAUGUGUAGGAUAGGUGGGAGGCUUUGAAGUGUGGACGCCAGUCUGCAUGGAGCCGACCUUGAAAUACCACCCUUUAAUGUUUGAUGUUCUAACGUGGGCCCCUUACCGGGGUUGCGGACAGUGUCUGGUGGGUAGUUUGACUGGGGCGGUCUCCUCCUAAAGAGUAACGGAGGAGCACGAAGGUUGGCUAAUCCUGGUCGGACAUCAGGAGGUUAGUGCAAUGGCAUAAGCCAGCUUGACUGCGAGCGUGACGGCGCGAGCAGGUGCGAAAGCAGGUCAUAGUGAUCCGGUGGUUCUGAAUGGAAGGGCCAUCGCUCAACGGAUAAAAGGUACUCCGGGGAUAACAGGCUGAUACCGCCCAAGAGUUCAUAUCGACGGCGGUGUUUGGCACCUCGAUGUCGGCUCAUCACAUCCUGGGGCUGAAGUAGGUCCCAAGGGUAUGGCUGUUCGCCAUUUAAAGUGGUACGCGAGCUGGGUUUAGAACGUCGUGAGACAGUUCGGUCCCUAUCUGCCGUGGGCGCUGGAGAACUGAGGGGGGCUGCUCCUAGUACGAGAGGACCGGAGUGGACGCAUCACUGGUGUUCGGGUUGUCAUGCCAAUGGCACUGCCCGGUAGCUAAAUGCGGAAGAGAUAAGUGCUGAAAGCAUCUAAGCACGAAACUUGCCCCGAGAUGAGUUCUCCCUGACUCCUUGAGAGUCCUGAAGGAACGUUGAAGACGACGACGUUGAUAGGCCGGGUGUGUAAGCGCAGCGAUGCGUUGAGCUAACCGGUACUAAUGAACCGUGAGGCUUAACCUUACAACGCCGAAGAUGUUUUG